CUUGACGGACCCCAGCCACAGCGGCCGCCCUUCCGGCCGCUCCUGUCCGUACGUCGCCAGCAGCGCCUGCGCCUC
This 75-nucleotide antisense RNA is filed under the name Streptomyces sp. MMG1121. RNAcentral describes it as "ASpks TB sRNA". It matches the Rfam family "ASpks TB sRNA". The record is from Rfam by way of RNAcentral. Lineage: Bacteria; Bacillati; Actinomycetota; Actinomycetes; Kitasatosporales; Streptomycetaceae.